Molecule: long non-coding RNA, 1528 nt
Filed under: Musa acuminata (dwarf banana)
Lineage: Eukaryota; Viridiplantae; Streptophyta; Magnoliopsida; Zingiberales; Musaceae
Description: long non-coding RNA (MACU_LNC007664)
Source: RNAcentral
CCACUACUAGUUGGGGUUGGCGCAGGACAGGAAAUAUUGAUUCUAUUUGGCUAAGUUGGUCAGCUUCACAGAAAGGAGAGGUCGAGUGAGGUGUGCAAGGAAGAGUCUAAAGUCAGCUCAAACUCCAAGGUAGCCGCCUAAUUCAGUAUCAAGUAAUAAGGGUUAAGGCAAAAACCGAUUCUUCAUCAGAGCUGGUUUGCAACGAGAGAAUCCGCCGUUAAGUUGUAAGUAUCCCGCUCGCUAACAGGAGCUCGAUUGGCGCUUGAAAGAUGAAACAAACGGAGAAACCUAUACCUUGUGCUCGAAGGAGAAAAUGGAAUCUAUCUAUGUGCAUCAGCUUACAAGUGUAGUUCAUUCUGUCUGUGCAUCAGCUUAAGUGGUAACUGCUUCUUUUCCUUCCUAAAGUCCAGUGGAGCAGUAGCUGUUUCAUCAGUUGUUUUCCUUGGCGAUAAUGGAGCGGAGAGUUCUCGUCUUUGAACCUCUGUUUUCACUAUGCUAAUGUCACUCUCUGUGAUAUAAUGAAGGUACUUUGAAAGGUAGUUUCAAUACAUUUAGCCGUAUAUAGUGAUCCUUACUUGCGAACUCCAUUUACCUAUAGUCUGGAACUCACGAAAUACCGUCUUGUAUAAUCUUUGCGCUGUUCCUAAGUGCGAUCAAUGAGAUUCUUUAGAGAACAACAAGUAGGGGGGCGAGAGAACUUGAUAGCAAGUACUUAUGGAGCGCUAAGUUAAUGAGUGGAAGUUGAAAGAUCAGUUACAGACUAAGGAUGGAUUGUAAGUGAGAGAAUCAGAGGCUCAAGUCAGUGGUUAGUGAUUCAAUCUCUUCUCUUUGGGUGCUCAAGUAACGUUAAGGGGAAGGUCAGAGGUCCGCUGCUGAAUGUACUGAUUUGAUUGACCUUAGCCAAAGGUGUCGCUGCUGAAUGUACUGAUUUGAUUGACCUUAGCCCAAGGUGUCUUAGUCAUAGAGAAUGGCAUGUUCCUGUUCUGUUUGAGUAUUCUCCUAUAUCCCAAAAGAAUGGAAGUUUGACUUGAAGUUGAAUCCGAGAUGUCACUCGCGUUAGCAAGUUAAGCGCGUAAGGGAGUUGUUGCCCUUAUAUUAACUCGAUCCACUGCUGAUUUGAAUGUGUAACUUGACUCUAAGCGUGCGGGAAGGGAGUUUUUGAGAGUUUACAGUACAAUUGAUAUGUGCGUUAGGGAAGAGAGUUCAGGUGGAUUACUUGACACUUCCUAUUUCGGUUCAGAAAGAAGAGUUUCGAGGCUACGAAGCAACUGAAUCCGAGUAUAAAGCUGGUCCAGGUUCAGGAAAUUGAUCUUAAUCAGGUAAGUAAGGAGCAAUCCCCGUUCUUGUUUUCAUGCCCAUGUAGCAGUUAGGGUCAGAAAAGAAUCAAGCUCAGGGUUGGCCAAAGACCUUGUCUAUACACUCUAGUAGCUGCGGCGGGGAGAAGGAUUAUCAAACAACAUAUGCCUCGCUUCCGCCUAUGCCUCUGCAAGUGCUUAGUCUGUUUCAUAUCCAGCUUCGCUUCUUCGGA